Molecule: ribosomal RNA, 578 nt
Filed under: Penicillium griseofulvum
Lineage: Eukaryota; Fungi; Ascomycota; Eurotiomycetes; Eurotiales; Aspergillaceae
Description: partial 18S ribosomal RNA
Rfam family: 5.8S ribosomal RNA (bases 247-399)
Source: RNAcentral
UCUUGGUUCAAUUUAGAGGAAGUAAAAGUCGUAACAAGGUUUCCGUAGGUGAACCUGCGGAAGGAUCAUUACUGAGUGAGGGCCCUCUGGGUCCAACCUCCCACCCGUGUUUAUUUACCUUGUUGCUUCGGCGGGCCCGCCUUAACUGGCCGCCGGGGGGCUUACGCCCCCGGGCCCGCGCCCGCCGAAGACACCCUCGAACUCUGUCUGAAGAUUGAAGUCUGAGUGAAAAUAUAAAUUAUUUAAAACUUUCAACAACGGAUCUCUUGGUUCCGGCAUCGAUGAAGAACGCAGCGAAAUGCGAUACGUAAUGUGAAUUGCAAAUUCAGUGAAUCAUCGAGUCUUUGAACGCACAUUGCGCCCCCUGGUAUUCCGGGGGGCAUGCCUGUCCGAGCGUCAUUGCUGCCCUCAAGCCCGGCUUGUGUGUUGGGCCCCGUCCUCCGAUUCCGGGGGACGGGCCCGAAAGGCAGCGGCGGCACCGCGUCCGGUCCUCGAGCGUAUGGGGCUUUGUCACCCGCUCUGUAGGCCCGGCCGGCGCUUGCCGAUCAACCCAAAUUUUUAUCCAGGUGACCCUUCGG